GACGGGGCCGCACAAGCGGAGGAGCAUGUGGCUUAAUUCGAUGCAACGCGAAAAACCUUACCCACCUUUGACAUGUACGGAAUCCUUUAGAGAUAGAGGAGUGCUCGAAAGAGAGCCGUAACACGGGUGCUGCAUGGCUGUCGUCAGCUCGUGUCGUGAGAUGUUGGGUUAAGUCCCGCAACGAGCGCAACCCUUGUCAUUAGUUGCUACAUUCAGUUGGGCACUCUAAUGAGACUGCCGGUGACAAACCGGAGGAAGGUGGGGAUGACGUCAAGUCCUCAUGGCCCUUAUAGGUGGGGCUACACACGUCAUACAAUGGAUGGUACAAAGGGUCGCCAACCCGCGAGGGGGAGCCAAUCCCAUAAAGCCAUUCGUAGUCCGGAUCGCAGUCUGCAACUCGACUGCGUGAAGUCGGAAUCGCUAGUAAUCGUGGAUCAGAAUGUCACGGUGAAUACGUUCCCGGGUCUU
RNAcentral lists this ribosomal RNA (468 nucleotides) under uncultured Acidovorax sp. Its description in RNAcentral is "bacterial SSU rRNA". It matches the Rfam family "Bacterial small subunit ribosomal RNA", at positions 912 to 1382 of the family's 1533-position model. Lineage: Bacteria; Pseudomonadati; Pseudomonadota; Betaproteobacteria; Burkholderiales; Comamonadaceae. The record is from RNAcentral.